UGGUGGAGUGAUUUGUCUGGUUAAUUCCGAUAACGAGCGAGACCUCAGCCUACUAACUAGCUAUGGGAAUCUUCGGAUUCCUUAUCCCAAUAGCUUCUUAGAGGGACUAUCGGUGUGUAGCCGAUGGAAGACUGAGGCAAUAACA
Molecule: ribosomal RNA, 145 nt
Filed under: uncultured eukaryote
Lineage: Eukaryota
Description: partial 18S ribosomal RNA
Rfam family: Eukaryotic small subunit ribosomal RNA
Source: RNAcentral